GGCGGUUGGGCGGCAAUGACGGCCGCGGCCAGGGGGGAGGCGCAGAAGGAGAGGACGACGACGGCGACCAAAAGGGAGGAGGGUGACAAAUGGGCGACGCCAUGCAGACGGGCGACGACAAGGAGAGGGAGAAAAGAGGAGGAAAAAAAGGGGACGCUCGACGGCCGCGAAGCGGCCGAAAGAAAAAAAAUUUUGGGGCUGUUUUUUAUUGUGUGGAGGCGGUGCGUCGGGGGCGCGCGCGAUGCGUCGGCGGACAGAUGGAUGACCGAGGGCGGCAUUCUUUUCUUUUCUUUUCUUCUAGAGAGGGGCCUCGACAGAUAGACAGAGGAGGAAAAGCGAGAGGAAAACCCGAAAAGAAAAGCGGACGUCGAGAGCGCCCAAGGUCCGAGGAGGAGAGGAAAAAAAAGGCGACGGCGCGACUGCGCGCGACAACAACACACACACAAGAGUGUGUUUGUCGAGGAGGUCGCAAAAUCGCAGCGCGACAACAACGGCGGCCCUCAAAAUUUUACGCAAGGUAUAGGGAUAUAUCCAUGAAAAAACCGGGAUAAAACCAGGUAUUUUAUUUAAAUAAACCGGGAUAAAUCUGGG
Molecule: long non-coding RNA, 591 nt
Filed under: Pandoravirus dulcis
Description: putative ncRNA
Source: RNAcentral